RNAcentral lists this long non-coding RNA (1736 nucleotides) under Hordeum vulgare. Its description in RNAcentral is "long non-coding RNA (HVUL_LNC003983)". The record is from RNAcentral. Lineage: Eukaryota; Viridiplantae; Streptophyta; Magnoliopsida; Poales; Poaceae.
AUGAACAAAAAAAUCUUCUUACGGUUGGACAUGCAUUCUUACUAGUACCAGUGGAAUUUACCAGUUGAAUCAUAUAAACACACACAAGCACAAAUCACCUGAAUUCAAGAGCCAGUGCAUGUGUGAAUUCCUCAAACUCCAUCUAUCUAAGCUUGUUGUUCUAAACACAAACUGGGAGAAAUACAAACAGCCUGAAACAUAGCUUUGUCCAGAUGGUACAUAAUCUUCAAAAUGCACAUUCAACUUGUGUUGUGCCACUAUUAUCAGCAGAUUUCACCACAAAUCUGACAUCAGAUAAGCAGGUCCUAUAUUUGUUCGAGAGAUUGUCAGAAUGUGGGACUACCGUCUCAAAGACUGACAAUGCCGACAACACGAGAUGAGUCAAAACUAAAACAGUAAUACAACUCAAACUUAGACUACAGAGUAAUUAGACAAUAACAUAACAAUAAGCAACAAGUAUCGCACAUUGCCUAGUGUGUACAGUUUGAACAUAAUAAUAAUAACUGAGUACUGCCAUAUGGGCUGGAGUAACUAAAAAACUCAAAAGAAUGAUACUUGAGAGUUGAAGCAUCAACAUAGUGGACACAAAUAAAGUAGGUAGUAGCAACUGGGAACUGAAUCUUGUAUUAAAUCUCGGGUCUGCUCCAAGGUAACCUUCCAUCAGUAGCGUUCAUCAUACGAGCGAGCGCCGCGAGUGGGCCGAUCAUAGGGAGCAGGCCUAUCUCGGUAACUCCCGCCAAGGCGAGCAGGUCCAGCACUCCCAUAUCUGUCACCAUUCGCCACACGUGGACCACCCCUGCCAUAACCACCAGUUCCUCUAGGUUCAUCACGGUAAUAACUUCCACCUGGCCGCCCUCCAUCUCUCUCAUAGCUUCUUUCCCUGGCAAAGCCACCUGAUGCAUAACGAUCACCACCACCAUAUCUGUCGCCAGAAAAACGAUCAGCAGCUGGAGGAUAGCGAUCGCGUCCACCACCAUAACGAUCAUCGGCAUAGCGGCCACCAUCAUAACGAUCAUCAACAUAGCGAUUAGCAAAACGGUCUGAUCCUCCAAAGCGGUCACCACGCCCACCAGCGCCAUUGACAUACCUGGAAGGGGGAGAGUACCUUCCAGGUCUACCUCCAACAGAAUAGGGACAUUCACGAGCCCAGUGUCCAGGGCGUCCACACUUAAAGCAAUCAUCACUUGCAGCGGGUACUAUGUCAGCUGCACCACGAUAUCCACCUCUAGCUCCAGAUGAGUAACUACUACCCCCAUAUCCAUAGCCACCAUCAUUACUGUUCACUCUAGGUUGAGCUUUGUUCACAGAAAUGGUCCGACCAUCUAGUUCUCCAUUGUGCAUUUCCCGGAUCGCAACAUCCACAGCCCGAGGUUCCGAGAAUGUAACAAACCCAAACCCACGGGAGCGGCCUGUGUCUCUUUCUGUUACAACCUAUACAUACAAUGAAAGUGAACUCAUGGGAAGAUAGUAACUGCAUAUAAUAGUGAACAGCCAAAAAAAUCCAACACUAGCAAUAGCAUGCACAUGCAAAUUGGGCCAUAGGGAAAUGACAACAGCUGAUAAGUAUGUCAAGUAUGGUACCGACUGAAAAUAUCUCACAAAACUGGAGAAACACAGUCAAUCUUUAUGCCACUGCUCAAUUAUUGUAUGUAAAGUCAGUAUCUCCUUUAUCUGCCCCAACAAUGCAGUAUGCUAGCAACAUCCAGAAGGCAUACUAUGGGCAACAGGUCAGAACU